Molecule: ribosomal RNA, 592 nt
Filed under: Wolbachia sp.
Lineage: Bacteria; Pseudomonadati; Pseudomonadota; Alphaproteobacteria; Rickettsiales; Anaplasmataceae
Also listed under: 1 other name
Description: bacterial SSU rRNA
Rfam family: Bacterial small subunit ribosomal RNA
Source: RNAcentral
AUUAGAUGAGCCUAUAUUAGAUUAGCUAGUUGGUGGAGUAAUAGCCUACCAAGGCAAUGAUCUAUAGCUGAUCUGAGAGGAUGAUCAGCCACACUGGAACUGAGAUACGGUCCAGACUCCUACGGGAGGCAGCAGUGGGGAAUAUUGGACAAUGGGCGAAAGCCUGAUCCAGCCAUGCCGCAUGAGUGAAGAAGGCCUUUGGGUUGUAAAGCUCUUUUAGUGAGGAAGAUAAUGACGGUACUCACAGAAGAAGUCCUGGCUAACUCCGUGCCAGCAGCCGCGGUAAUACGGAGAGGGCUAGCGUUAUUCGGAAUUAUUGGGCGUAAAGGGCGCGUAGGCUGAUUAAUAAGUUAAAAGUGAAAUCCCGAGGCUUAACCUUGGAAUUGCUUUUAAAACUAUUAAUCUAGAGAUUGAAAGAGGAUAGAGGAAUUCCUGAUGUAGAGGUAAAAUUCGUAAAUAUUAGGAGGAACACCAGUGGCGAAGGCGUCUAUCUGGUUCAAAUCUGACGCUGAAGCGCGAAGGCGUGGGGAGCAAACAGGAUUAGAUACCCUGGUAGUCCACGCUGUAAACGAUGAAUGUUAAAUAUGGGAAG